GAAUUUGUUUCUCUCUCUUUCCGCUUAGGUUUUUCAAUUUUUUUUUCUUAUUUUUUGUGUGUGUUAUAGAUGCUUCACAGUGUGAUUUGUUUCCACAAACUAGGUUAUGCAAAUGCUUUUUCUUUAAUAAUUUGGGGAAAUUAAGGCCUAAGCAAGCCGGAGACGGCUCUGAUCGCAGAUUUAACGAUGCUCUUCACCGUCGAUUUCUUAGACAAGUGCCGUUAAAGAUAAAGAAGGAAGAAGAAGAAAUAAUUCAAAUAGAAAACUACGAUUUUCAGAGUCACAUCAAAUUUAAACUGAUACCCAGUUCUAUAUUCACCACUUGAUCCGAAAACUUGGAUGUGAACCUUACUUUGGGCAGCGUGCAAUAUCCAGUUUCUCAAAGAAUUUCCAUGGUAGCAGAAAAAGUGCUAUUCUUGGAUCCAUUUGAUAAGAGGCUUUUCCAAACUUGCAUGAGUGCCUGUUCAUCAUGUAAGUACUAUGGUAAGUUUCACAAUCAUGAUCAUCAAUUCCAUCCUGACCCUAAUCAGUUUUUCAAAACGAAACAGCAUUUUAUUAUGAGAAGCUAAUCCAUGCAUAAUUCCUGCUGGUUCUACUUAUCUAUUAUGUCUUAUCAUCAGACCUUUCUUUGAGGUUAUGUGAUCUUAUUUUGAGCUGAACAUAUGGAAAUUUCAUAUUGGUUCUUCAAUAAAGAAUUUAGAUGCAAGUAUAAGUUGGUUCUCUAGCUCACCCUGGCCUUCUCAUUUAUCUUCUUCUCAUUGUUCUUUUAACGUUUUUGGUGGAUGAUAUGAUCCAGCUUAUUGAGUUUUUGAUAUCAGACUACUUGUUAACUUGGUUGAGGGUUGAAGGCCUUGACUAUGGUAUAUAUCUUUCCUGCUUUUUGUCCAUGUUGAUUAGGUUCUCGUUGGUUUCUGCUGAUUAAGCUUCCUCUUGGUGUUGCAUUCGAAUUUCAUGCUAGCUGUUUUACAAUUAGUAUUUCUCUAAAGCUGGAUCGGAAUUUAAUACAUUCUUUGCAUUCUGUAAUUUGAGAAAAUUUUUGGUAUACUUCUCUUUGUUGGAUCUAAGAUCACGCUUUAGAAGCAUGCAUCAGAAACCAUAAACAUGACAUCCAAUAGCUACAUUGCAGCGGUGUUUGAGGAGUGGGUGAUCUCAUUUCUCCAUGCUCGCAAAGCAUUAGCACUUCUUGAAAGCAGAAAAGGGCUUUAUGUUUCGUACUUGGAUCGAGUCACAGGUGAACUGGCUAAACAUGUGGGCCAGGUUUCAACAUUUCAGAAGCUCAGCCAAGAUAUUCUUGAUAAACUAUUCUGCCGACUAAAGCAUGGAUUCAUCCAAAUGCCAGUAUUUCCUGUCUAAAAUACCAGUGGACACCGACUGUCUAAGAUACCAGUGCUUUAUUUGGAUUUUGCAAAGCAUAUGCCAAAGGAACAUGUUUAACAGCAGAAGAGUAAGGCCUUUGCAUAGUAAGAUCUAAAUAAAGCCUGUCUAGUAUUAGUUGGAAGCAUUGUAUCUAGGAAAAAAGAUAGAAAGAUUUGAUUAAAUUAAAAAUCAUCUUCCACUUUAGGUGCUUUAGUAGUUUAUUGACAUUGCACCAUUGCCUUGGAGUCAAUAUUUGAUAUCAGCAUCAAGAAUCAUCCUCCACCCAGCUUUAUUUUGUGUCAAUUGUUUUUUGGCAAUCUAAGUAAUUUACACCAUGAAUUUUAUUACAAGGGGUAUCCUGUAGAAAACUCGAAGCUAGUCUUGGGAUAAAGAAGUCCUAGCUUAAUUUCUUCUUGUCAUUUUUUACUCAAAAGUUAUUUUUGCUGAUAUGCAAUAUGAUUCUGUUCUGCCCUUUUCUUAUCAUGAAAUCAAGUGAAGUAAAAUCUUGCUGUUCCAAAUUCCCUUGUCAUGCUGGAAAGAGAUACCUUACUUAAGUUUGCUACCUGUGUCAAUUUGCUAGGCUGUUGUAGGUAUCUUUCAACAGACGUCCAUGUGCAGUGAGGGACAUUUCACAGGGAGGUAAUAUUUUAAAUUCUUGAUUGCUUGCGGCACUCCUUAUAAAUAUCUCCUCCUUAUUAAUCAUAGAGUCCACUAAACAACAAAUAUCUUAGCUACUUUUCCUUAGCAGACAUGACUCAAAUGAGGAGUGUAUUCACUUUCCUGCUCUUCAGCCUCCUCUUGCUAUCACACUCUCUUCCAAGUUCAGCUGUCAAGAGUCAAUUUGAUAAAGUUCCCACCAAAUCCCAACUGCCUCAGGGAAGACAAAAUGGCCUGAUCAAUUCAUUUCAGACUCCGAAGUUAGGAGUUCACAUAAAAAAAAGGGCUCGUUUUUAUCCUCGUAGUGGUCGCAAAUCGUCUGCUGUCCGAACCCAACUUCCUUCCAGCCAUAUAAUUGGUUCAGUUCUCGCCUUCCUCAGUUUCUUCCUGUUCUAAGCCUGAUAUGGUUAAUUGCCCAAUUUGUUGAAGUUGAGUGUUCAAUAAUUCUCUCAAUGAGUCGCUGUAUACCAAGCGGUGCCUUACCUUAUUAGGAAAAAGGAUGUCUUUUCUAUGUUACCCUGCCUAUGGCUUUUGCACGUGCCUUGUAUUUAUUUAGCAGAUCUUCUCAACACAACUAGAGGAUCUGCAUAAACAGAUAGUCAUAGCAGUUAGUUGCUUUUACCAAUACUGAGGCUGUUAAUUUUCUUAAACCAUGCAAUCAAUGCAUGUAUUUCACAUGGGCGAUCAUUGUUCCAAUAUUGUUAAGUAAAUAAAAUAUCAGCCUAUUUUUAGUA
Molecule: long non-coding RNA, 2747 nt
Organism: Populus trichocarpa (black cottonwood)
Lineage: Eukaryota; Viridiplantae; Streptophyta; Magnoliopsida; Malpighiales; Salicaceae
Exons: 3
Source: RefSeq, a predicted model, not a curated record